Molecule: ribosomal RNA, 427 nt
Filed under: uncultured bacterium
Lineage: Bacteria
Description: partial 16S ribosomal RNA
Rfam family: Bacterial small subunit ribosomal RNA
Source: RNAcentral
UGGGGAAUAUUGCACAAUGGGCGCAAGCCUGAUGCAGCCAUGCCGCGUGUAUGAAGAAGGCCUUCGGGUUGUAAAGUACUUUCAGCGGGGAGGAAGGCGAUAAGGUUAAUAACCUUGUCGAUUGACGUUACCCGCAGAAGAAGCACCGGCUAACUCCGUGCCAGCAGCCGCGGUAAUACGGAGGGGGCAAGCGUUAAUCGGAAUUACUGGGCGUAAAGCGCACGCAGGCGGUCGGGCAAGUCGGAUGUGAAAUACCCGGGCUCAACCUGGGAACUGCAUUCGAAGCUGGCAGGCUAGAGUCUUGGAGAGGGGGGUAGAAUUCCAGGUGUAGCGGUGAAAUGCGUAGAGAUCUGGAGGAAUACCGGUGGCGAAGGCGGCCCCCUGGACAAAGACUGACGCUCAGGUGCGAAAGCGUGGGGAGCAAACA